ACAUGUCCGCAUGAUUAAAGGUAUUUUCCGGUAGACGAUGGGGAUGCGUUCCAUUAGAUAGUAGGCGGGGUAACGGCCCACCUAGUCAACGAUGGAUAGGGGUUCUGAGAGGAAGGUCCCCCACAUUGGAACUGAGACACGGUCCAAACUCCUACGGGAGGCAGCAGUGAGGAAUAUUGGUCAAUGGGCGAUGGCCUGAACCAGCCAAGUAGCGUGAAGGAUGACUGCCCUAUGGGUUGUAAACUUCUUUUAUAAAGGAAUAAAGUCGGGUAUGCAUACCCGUUUGCAUGUACUUUAUGAAUAAGGAUCGGCUAACUCCGUGCCAGCAGCCGCGGUAAUACGGAGGAUCCGAGCGUUAUCCGGAUUUAUUGGGUUUAAAGGGAGCGUAGAUGGAUGUUUAAGUCAGUUGUGAAAGUUUGCGGCUCAACCGUAAAAUUGCAGUUGAUACUGGAUGUCUUGAGUGCAGUUGAGGCAGGCGGAAUUCGUGGUGUAGCGGUGAAAUGCUUAGGUAUCACGAAGAACUCCGAUUGCGAAGGCAGCCUGCUAAGCUGCAACUGACAUUGAGGCUCGAGAGUGUGGGUAUCAAACAGGAUUAGAUACCCUGGUAGUCCACACGGUAAACGAUGAAUACUCGCUGUUUGCGAUAUACGGCAAGCG
Molecule: ribosomal RNA, 657 nt
Filed under: uncultured bacterium
Lineage: Bacteria
Description: bacterial SSU rRNA
Rfam family: Bacterial small subunit ribosomal RNA
Source: RNAcentral